GUGUAACAAUUCCUUCCUUACGCUGCUGCAGGAGCCGUGGCUGCCCAAUGAAGCCGCAAGCCAGUGUUGUCUACAAACAUCAACAGAUACAAAUCAGGUGGAGAGGUGAAGAAAUGCUACUAUACAAUCCUCCCAUGCAGCUGAAGAGCACUGGCAGAGUUGGUUACAUCCCAGUAAAACAACAUCUAAUUGAUUAAGAAUAAAGAGCUUCAAAACUUGCUUAUUUUGUAAGUUUUUGCCAAGACAAGACUACCCUACCUGUAGGGCAAACUGUACAGUCCCAGUGUAUGUCAGCCCUCUGUUCUACUGUUACUGCAGACAUCCAGUGGAGCCUACACAGCCUAUCAGGAGAAAGACGAGUGACUGGAAGCUUCUUUUACUGUAAAAUGCAACUACAAGUCAAACUAUUGCCCUGGACUUUGUAAAGCAUGAACAGCUCAUGCUCUUGGCAUACUUUACCUCCUUAUAGGAGUGCAUUUCAUGUUCAUACAUUGCCAGGUCUCCCAUUUUCAGAGCAAAGAAAGCCUUAGUAAGUGUCAGGACCACUGAUGGCAUCAUCUUUUCUACUUUCUGAAGAUACUUCACAGCUGUCAAAGGACAUAUGUUUCUCAUGCUGGGACUGCAAAGGAUAUCAGGCAGCUGCACAGGGUCCGCAAGAUACAGUAUCUGGAGAACUUUACUUCCUGAUUCCUAUUGAAAUAAAAGCCAUUUGACAGUUCAGAA
Melospiza melodia melodia is the source of this 723-nucleotide long non-coding RNA. RefSeq lists it as uncharacterized. The transcript has 2 exons. NCBI's taxonomy places the organism in Eukaryota, Metazoa, Chordata, Aves, Passeriformes, Passerellidae. The record is from RefSeq and is a predicted model, not a curated record.